GAGGUCUCAAGCGUUGUUCGGAAUCACUGGGCGUAAAGGGUGCGUAGGCGGCGGAGUAAGUCGGGUGUGAAAUUUGAGGGCUCAACCCUCAACGUGCACCUGAUACUGCUUUGCUAGAGGCCUGAAGAGGAGCUUGGAAUUCUUGGUGUAGCAGUGAAAUGCGUAGAUCUCAAGAAGAACGCUCGCAGCGAAAGCGAAGCUCUGGUCAGGAUCUGACGCUGAGGCACGAAGGCUAGGGGAGCAAACGGGAUUAGAUACCCCGGUAGUCCUAGCUGUAAACGGUGCGCGUUUGGUGUUGGCAAGUUAGACCUUGUCAGUGCCGGAGCUAACGCGUUAAACGCGCCGCCUGGGAAGUACGAUCGCAAGAUUAAAACUCAAAGAAAUUGACCGGGACCCGCACAAGCGGUGGAGUAUGUGGCUUAAUUCGAUGCAACGCGAAGAACCUUACCUGGAUUUGACAUGCAUUGUGUCUCCGAUGAAAGUCGGAUACUGUUGAAACAUACAGGCUUUGCACAGGUGCUGCAUGGCUGUCGUCAGCUCGUGUCGUGAGAUGUUGGGUUAAGUCCCGCAACGAGCGCAACCCUCGUGGUUUGUUGCCCCCGGAUUUAUUUCCGCGCACUCAAACCAUACUGCCCAGAUUAACUGGGAGGAAGGCGAGGAUGACGUCAAGUCAGUAUGGCCCUUACAUCCAGGGCUGCACACGUACUACAAUGCCCAAUACAAAUAGAUCCUAGUCCGCGAGGAGGAGGAAAUCUCAUAAAAUUGG
RNAcentral lists this ribosomal RNA (766 nucleotides) under uncultured Verrucomicrobiaceae bacterium. RNAcentral's name for it is "bacterial SSU rRNA". It matches the Rfam family "Bacterial small subunit ribosomal RNA", at positions 528 to 1285 of the family's 1533-position model. Lineage: Bacteria; Pseudomonadati; Verrucomicrobiota; Verrucomicrobiia; Verrucomicrobiales; Verrucomicrobiaceae. The record is from RNAcentral.